Non-coding RNA from Drosophila bipectinata, 332 nucleotides. NCBI's taxonomy places the organism in Eukaryota, Metazoa, Arthropoda, Insecta, Diptera, Drosophilidae. The record is from RefSeq and is a predicted model, not a curated record.
GUCACCUGUGACUGUUCAAGCGCUACGGACGUCGUCGGUGGAUACUCCGGAAAAAAUCCGGAAAAGCGAGGGAAAUUCGCAGAGAGAGUUCUUUCGCCGCAUUUAUCCGUUCUUUUGGGAAAACCACAUGAAAACAUUCCGGUGGCAAACAGGUUGCCAUAAACCCCCCCACCAACAAAAACAACAACGUUGCCAAAUCAAACACGUGCACGGCAACGGAAAAGGUUAACGAGAACAGCAACAGCAACAAAAAAAGGCAACAAAAAUUGUUAACAACAUUACCUCUUUUAUUUUUUUGCUUUUUAUCAGACAAAGCCAAAUAAACCAAAAUU